RNAcentral lists this ribosomal RNA (450 nucleotides) under uncultured bacterium. RNAcentral's name for it is "bacterial SSU rRNA". It matches the Rfam family "Bacterial small subunit ribosomal RNA", at positions 62 to 525 of the family's 1533-position model. The record is from RNAcentral.
UCGAACGAGAAAGCGGGGGCAACUCCGUGAGUAAAGUGGCGACCGGGUGAGUAACACGUGACUAACCUACCCUCUGGUGGGGAAUAACCUCGGGAAACCGGGGCUAAUACCGCAUAACAUCCGCGGGUGCAACUCCUGCGGAUCAAAGGAGCAAUUCGCCGGAGGAGGGGGUCGCGGCUGAUUAGCUAGUUGGCGGGGUGAACGGCCCACCAAGGCGAUGAUCAGUAGCCGGCCUGAGAGGGCGCACGGCCACACUGGAACUGAAACACGGUCCAGACUCCUACGGGGGGCAGCAGUGGGGAAUUUUGCGCAAUGGGGGAAACCCUGACGCAGCAACGCCGCGUGGAGGAUGAAGUCCCUUGGGACGUAAACUCCUUUCGACCGGGACGAAUAAUGACGGUUCCGGUGGAAGAACCUCCGGCUAUCAUAGUGCCCGCAUCCCCGGUUAUA